UAAAAAGCUUCAAACUGGGAUUAGAUACCCCACUAUGCCCAGCCUCAAACUAUGACUCAAUACAAAACACUUCCGCCCGGGAACUACGAGCUCCAGCUUAAAACCCAAAGGACUUGGCGGUGCCCCACCCACCUAGAGGAGCCUGUUCUAUAAUCGAUAACCCCCGCUUAACCUCACCACUUCUUGCCAAUACCGCCUAUAUACCACCGUCGCCAGCCCACCCCGUGAGGGAAUAAGUAGGCACAAUGAUCACCACCAAAACGUCAGGUCAAGGUGUAGCGUAUGAAGUGGAAAGAAAUGGGCUACAUUCUCUAACCUAGAGCACACGAAAAAUCAUAAGAAAUUAGAUUGGAAGGAGGAUUUAGUAGUAAAAAGAAACAAUAGUGUUCUUUUUAAAUUGGCCCUGGGGCGCGCACACACCGCCCGUCACCCUCUGCAGUCAAA
This 444-nucleotide ribosomal RNA is filed under the name Bombina maxima (large-webbed bell toad). Its description in RNAcentral is "partial 12S ribosomal RNA". It matches the Rfam family "Bacterial small subunit ribosomal RNA", at positions 753 to 1415 of the family's 1533-position model. The record is from RNAcentral. Lineage: Eukaryota; Metazoa; Chordata; Amphibia; Anura; Bombinatoridae.